GGCCGGUUGGCCCAAUGGCAAGGCGUCUGACUACGAUUGUCCGUCUACAUCUUCGUGCGGCUCCGCUGUGCGAAGCAUCAGAUGCGGAGACUUUGGUAUCAGGAGAUUCUGGGUUCGACCCCCAGGCUGGUCA
Molecule: transfer RNA, 133 nt
Filed under: Colletotrichum orchidophilum
Lineage: Eukaryota; Fungi; Ascomycota; Sordariomycetes; Glomerellales; Glomerellaceae
Rfam family: tRNA
About the family: Transfer RNA (tRNA) molecules are approximately 80 nucleotides in length. Their secondary structure includes four short double-helical elements and three loops (D, anti-codon, and T loops). Further hydrogen bonds mediate the characteristic L-shaped molecular structure. tRNAs have two regions of fundamental functional importance: the anti-codon, which is responsible for specific mRNA codon recognition, and the 3' end, to which the tRNAs corresponding amino acid is attached (by aminoacyl-tRNA synthetases). tRNAs cope with the degeneracy of the genetic code in two manners: having more than one tRNA (with a specific anti-codon) for a particular amino acid; and 'wobble' base-pairing, i.e. permitting non-standard base-pairing at the 3rd anti-codon position.
Source: Rfam by way of RNAcentral